Molecule: non-coding RNA, 148 nt
Filed under: Homo sapiens (human)
Lineage: Eukaryota; Metazoa; Chordata; Mammalia; Primates; Hominidae
Source: Rfam by way of RNAcentral
GCCGGGUGUGGUGGUGCACACCUGUAAUCCCAGCUACUUGGGAGGCUGAAGCACAAGAAUUGCUUGAACCCAGGAGGCGGAGGUUGCAGUGAGCCAAGAUCAUGCCACUGCACUCUAGCCUGGGCAACAAAGUGAGACUCUGUCUCAA